GAACGGCAGCGGGGAUUCACUUCGGUGAAUCUGCCGGCGAGUGGCGCACGGGUGAGUAACACGUAUGCAACCUGCCUCUGUCAGGGGUAUAACUCUGCGAAAGUAGGGCUAAUACCGCGUAUAUUCCCGGAGGGCAUCCUCCGGGGAGGAAAGGUUUCGGCCGGACAGAGAUGGGCAUGCGGCGCAUUAGGCAGUUGGCGGGGUAACGGCCCACCAAACCGACGAUGCGUAGGGGUUCUGAGAGGAAGGUCCCCCACACUGGUACUGAGACACGGACCAGACUCCUACGGGAGGCAGCAGUGAGGAAUAUUGGUCAAUGGCCGGAAGGCUGAACCAGCCAAGCCGCGUGAAGGACGAAGGUGCCAAAGCAUUGUAAACUUCUUUUGUCAAGGGACAAAAAUCAGGCUCGAGAGCCUGACCGAGGGUACU
RNAcentral lists this ribosomal RNA (429 nucleotides) under uncultured bacterium. RNAcentral's name for it is "bacterial SSU rRNA". It matches the Rfam family "Bacterial small subunit ribosomal RNA", at positions 64 to 479 of the family's 1533-position model. The record is from RNAcentral.